UACGUAGGGCGCAAGCGUUAUCCGGAAUUAUUGGGCGUAAAGAGCUCGUAGGCGGUUUGUCGCGUCUGCCGUGAAAGUCCGGGGCUUAACCCCGGAUCUGCGGUGGGUACGGGCAGACUAGGGUGCAGUAGGGGAGACUGGAAUUCCUGGUGUAGCGGUGAAAUGCGCAGAUAUCAGGAGGAACACCGAUGGCGAAGGCAGGUCUCUGGGCUGUAACUGACGCUGAGGAGCGAAAGCAUGGGGAGCGAACAGGAUUAGAUA
This 261-nucleotide ribosomal RNA is filed under the name uncultured Actinomycetales bacterium. Its description in RNAcentral is "partial 16S ribosomal RNA". It matches the Rfam family "Bacterial small subunit ribosomal RNA", at positions 524 to 784 of the family's 1533-position model. The record is from RNAcentral. Lineage: Bacteria; Bacillati; Actinomycetota; Actinomycetes; Actinomycetales.